AUGGAUCUCCUCCGCGCGAACCUCCACAAGGUCCGCAUCCCGGAGCCCACCAACCGCAUCCACAAGGACGAGUGCUGCGUCUCCUUCGACACCCCGAGGUCGGAGGGUGGGCUGUACGUGGACAUGAACUCGUUCCUGGGGUUCGGGAGGGAGCACGUGGCGUGGAACUUCGAGAAGUCGGAGAACCCCGUGUACCUCCACAUCGUGCAGCGCCGGAAGCCGGAGCCAGACGAGACGGAUCGCCCGCUGAAGAAGCCAACCCUGCUCGCCAUCGGCAUGGAGGGAGGUUUUGGUGAACAAGAACCUGAAUACGAUGUGACUUACAAAAUCGUUAUUUUGCCUGAAUUUUUGUCUCUCCCAUUUCCAUCAGUUGAUUUGCCAGAGAAGGUUAGGCUCGCAGUUGAUAAAGUUAUACUUGCGGAGAGUGCUGAUAGAAAGCAACAACUGGCUUCUUGGGUGGCUGACAAGAAAAUAAUCAGUGCACAUGCUAUGGAUCUGCAACAACUAGACAAUGGUGUUAUUGUGCCCCCUACCGGGUGGAAGUGUAGCAAGUGUGACAAAACUGAGAAUCUUUGGUUAAAUUUAACUGAUGGUAUGAUCCUCUGUGGGAGGUGGGUCUGGGAUGGAACUGGCGGGAAUAAUCAUGCUGUUGAACACUACCAGCAGACUAAAUAUCCUUUAGCGGUGAAGCUUGGAACAAUUACCGCUGAUUUGGAAGGAGCAGACGUUUACUCAUACCCGGAAGAUGAUAGCGUUGAAGAUCCAAUAUUAGCUCAGCACUUGUCGCAUUUUGGUAUUGAUUUUUCUUCACUCCAGAAGACUGAGAUGACUACUGCUGAAAGAGAACUUGACCACAACACUAAUUUUGAUUGGAAUAGAAUACAAGAAAGUGGCAAAGAUGCCGAACCUUUAUAUGGGCCUGGCUAUACUGGCCUUGUAAACCUUGGAAAUAGUUGCUACAUGGCCUCAGUAAUGCAAGUUAUGUUUUCAACCCAUCCCUUUAUAUCACGGUACUUUGAGAAGCAGAGCUUGAAAGCUGCGUUUGCAAUUUCUAAAGCUGAUCCAACGUUGGACUUAAACAUGCAAAUGACAAAGUUGGCGCAUGGUAUGCUCUCUGGUAAAUAUUCUGCACCCAGUCAAGAGGGACAAGAAGGAAUACGCCCCCGUAUGCUCAAGUCAGUAAUUGCAGCAAGUCAUCCUGAAUUUUCCAGUAUGAGGCAACAGGAUGCCCUUGAGUUCUUCCAUCAUCUUAUUGACAAAGUUGAUCAGGCAAACCCUGGAAACCAUGAGUUGAAUCCUUGUACCGGCUUCAAGUUCAUCAUCGAGGAGCGGGUUCAGUGCCCCUCUGGGAAAGUUUCUUAUAAUCAACAUUGUGACAACUUCCUUACUUUGAGCAUACCAUUGCAUGAAGCGACUAACAAAGAGCAGCUAGAAGCGUUCCAUGAGAAGAAAGCAGCAAUGGACUUGGAUGGAAAGGAAGUGUCUAAGGAGGAAAUCGUGAGGCCAAGAGUCCCACUGGAGGCAUGCUUAGCAAGUUUUUCAGGCGGAGAGGAAGUGCCUGAGUUUUACAGCACUGCAUUAAAUUCAAAGACGACAGCAAUUAAGACUACUGGCCUUAAAACUUUUCCUGAUUACCUGGUGCUUCAGAUGCGUAAGUUUGUAAUGGGAGAAGGAUGGGUGCCAAAGAAACUUGAUGUUUAUAUUGAUGUGCCGGAUAUAAUCGAUAUAUCGCACAUGCGCAGCAAUGGUGUACAGCCUGGGGAAGAGCUACUGCCUGAAGGAGCUUCUUGUGGCAACAAAGCUGAACCUGCUCGUCCUGUUGCCGACGAGGAUAUUGUAUCCCAGCUUGCAAACACGGGGUUCAAUUACUUUGCCUGUCAGAAAGCUGCUAUUAAUACAUCAAAUGCAGGAAUUGAGGAGGCAAUGGAUUGGCUCCUCUCACACACGGGGGAUCCAGAUAUUAAUGAGCCGAUAUCUCAAGAUCCAAUGCCUGCAGAAGACACUAUUGAUGAAGCAAGUCUUCAAACCCUUGUUUCCUUUGGCUUUCCAGAAGAUGUUUCUCGAAUGGCCUUGAAAGCUUCUGGUGGAAAUAUUGAGAGAGCCACGGAGUGGGUUUUCAGCCACCCUGAAGCAUCUAGUUCUGUAUCUGCUGAUUCUUCAACAAACAAUGUAAAAGAUGACGACUCGAACAUAUCAGAUGGAAGUGGCAGAUACAAGCUGAUGGCAUUUGUGAGCCACAUGGGAACCUCUACACACUGUGGGCACUAUGUCGCCCAUAUCCUCAAAGAUGGGAGGUGGACGAUCUUCAACGACAAUAAGGUUGCUGCAUCGGUCGACCUGCCCAAGGACAUGGGAUACCUCUAUUUCUUUCAGAGGAUAAGCAGUUAG
RNAcentral lists this ribosomal RNA (2388 nucleotides) under Triticum aestivum (bread wheat). Its description in RNAcentral is "partial small subunit ribosomal RNA". The record is from RNAcentral. Lineage: Eukaryota; Viridiplantae; Streptophyta; Magnoliopsida; Poales; Poaceae.